UGAGGAAUAUUGGUCAAUGGACGCAAGUCUGAACCAGCCAAGUAGCGUGCAGGAUGACGGCCCUCCGGGUUGUAAACUGCUUUAGUUCGGGAAUAACGACGGGGACGUGUCCCCGGAACGAAUGUACCGAAAGAAUAAGGACCGGCUAAUUCCGUGCCAGCAGCCGCGGUAAUACGGAAGGUCCAGGCGUUAUCCGGAUUUAUUGGGUUUAAAGGGAGCGUAGGCGGACUGUUAAGUCAGCGGUUAAAGAGUGUGGCUCAACCAUACGAUGCCGUUGAAACUGGUGGUCUUGAGUGCACACAGGGAUGCUGGAACUCGUGGUGUAGCGGUGAAAUGCUUAGAUAUCACGAUGAACUCCGAUCGCGAAGGCAGGUGUCCGGAGUGUAACUGACGCUGAGGCUCGAAAGUGUGGGUAUCAAACAGGAUUAGAUACCCUGGUAGUCCACACAGUAAACGAUGAAUACUCGCAGUUUGCGAUACACAGUAAGCUGCCAAGCGAAAGCAUUAAGUAUUCCACCUGGGGAGUACGCCGGCNACGGUG
RNAcentral lists this ribosomal RNA (541 nucleotides) under uncultured bacterium. RNAcentral describes it as "bacterial SSU rRNA". It matches the Rfam family "Bacterial small subunit ribosomal RNA", at positions 355 to 896 of the family's 1533-position model. The record is from RNAcentral.